CUGCCCUCGAGCGCGGUUCGGUCCCACCGUGGGCCGCGCCGCCGCCCGGUGUUGGGGCGCUGCGGGCCACCGUUGCCCGCAGGCCCUGAAAUGAAGUGGCGGUCCCGCCGCGGCGCCCCCUGCGUAGUAAGUUAGCUCACCUCGCAUCGGGUCCCGGCGAAGGCCAGCCGUCGAACCUCAACUCCUGAUG
RNAcentral lists this unclassified non-coding RNA (190 nucleotides) under Microascus stellatus. RNAcentral describes it as "Thermomyces stellatus partial internal transcribed spacer 2". Lineage: Eukaryota; Fungi; Ascomycota; Sordariomycetes; Microascales; Microascaceae. The record is from RNAcentral.